Molecule: ribosomal RNA, 274 nt
Filed under: uncultured bacterium
Lineage: Bacteria
Description: partial 16S ribosomal RNA
Rfam family: Bacterial small subunit ribosomal RNA
Source: RNAcentral
AUACAGAGGGUGCAAGCGUUAAUCGGAAUUACUGGGCGUAAAGCGCGCGUAGGCGGCUUGGUCAGUCGGAUGUGAAAGCCCUGGACUUAACCUGGGAAUUGCAUUCGAUACUGCCAGGCUAGAGUUUAGUAGAGGAAUGCGGAAUUCCGGGUGUAGCGGUGAAAUGCGUAGAGAUCCGGAGGAACAUCACUGGCGCAGGCAGCAUUCUGGGCUAAAACUGACGCUGAGGUGCGAAAGCGUGGGUAGCGCACAGGAUUAGAAACCCCGGUAGUCC